CCGGUUGAUCCUGCCGGAGGCCACUGCUAUUGGGAUCCGAUUAAGCCAUGCGAGUCGAGAGGGUUCGGCCCUCGGCAGACUGCUCAGUAACACGUGGAUAACCUAACCUUAGGUGGAAGAUAACCUCGGGAAACUGAGAAUAAUAUUCCAUAGAUCUAGGCUGCUGGAAUGCAUCUAGAUUGAAAGUUCCGACGCCUAAGGAUGGGUCUGCGGACUAUCAGGUUGUAGUCAGGGUAAAGACCUGACUAGCCUACGACGGAUACGGGUUGUGAGAGCAAUAGCCCGGAGACGAUAUCUGAGACACGAUAUCGGGCCCUACGGGGCGCAGCAGGCGCGAAAUCUUCACAAUGUGCGAAAGCACGAUGAGGGGAUCCCAAGUGCUGGCACGUAAGUGUCAGCUGUUUCUUAGUCUAAAAAACUGAGAGAGUAAGGGCUGGGUAAGACGGGUGCCAGCCGCCGCGGUAAUACCUGCAGCUCAAGUGGUGGCCGCUAUUAUUGGGCCUAAAACGUCCGUAGCCUGUUUAGUAAAUGCUUGGGUAAAUUGUGUAGCUUAACUAUACGAAUACCGGGUAGACUGCUAAACUUGGGACCGGGAGAGGCUAGAGGUACUCCUGGGGUAGAGGUGAAAUUCUGUAAUCCUAGGGGGACCACCAGUGGCGAAGGCGUCUAGCUAGGACGGGUCUGAC
Molecule: ribosomal RNA, 686 nt
Filed under: uncultured archaeon
Lineage: Archaea
Description: bacterial SSU rRNA
Rfam family: Archaeal small subunit ribosomal RNA
Source: RNAcentral